This 22-nucleotide microRNA is filed under the name Heligmosomoides polygyrus. Its description in RNAcentral is "hpo-miR-10031d-5p". The record is from miRBase by way of RNAcentral. Lineage: Eukaryota; Metazoa; Nematoda; Chromadorea; Rhabditida; Heligmosomidae.
AUGGGGUGGAUCUGAGGCAGAA